Molecule: ribosomal RNA, 488 nt
Filed under: uncultured bacterium
Lineage: Bacteria
Description: bacterial SSU rRNA
Rfam family: Bacterial small subunit ribosomal RNA
Source: RNAcentral
GAUGAACGCUAGCGGCAGGCUUAACACAUGCAAGUCGAGGGGCAACGAGAGUAGCAAUACUUGUCGGCGACCGGCGCAAGGGUGCGUAACACGUGAGCAACAUACCCAAAUCAGGAGGAUAACCGGAGGAAACUCUGCCUAAUACUCCAUAAUAUCAUCUUAUGGCAUCAUGAAAUGAUAAAAGAUUUAUCGGAUUCGGAUUGGCUCGCGGGACAUUAGCUAGUUGGCGAGGUAACGGCUCACCAAGGCUACGAUGUCUAGGGGUUCUGAGAGGAAGGUCCCCCACACUGGAACUGAGACACGGUCCAGACUCCUACGGGAGGCAGCAGUGAGGAAUAUUGGACAAUGGUCGGAAGACUGAUCCAGCCAUGCCGCGUGAAGGUUACUGUCCUAUGGAUAUUAAACUUCUUUUUACGGGUAGGCAAUAAGGUAGCACGCGUGCAUCGAUGAGAGUACCGUACGAAUAAGUACAUCGCGUAACUCCGUCG